RNAcentral lists this ribosomal RNA (495 nucleotides) under uncultured bacterium. RNAcentral describes it as "partial 16S ribosomal RNA". It matches the Rfam family "Bacterial small subunit ribosomal RNA", at positions 28 to 507 of the family's 1533-position model. The record is from RNAcentral.
GAUGAACGCUGGCGGCGUGCUUAACACAUGCAAGUCGAACGAAGCACCUCUCCCGAAGAUUGACACAGCUUGCUGGAGAUUGAUUCAUUUGAGGUGACUGAGUGGCGGACGGGUGAGUAACGCGUGGGUAACCUGCCUCAUAGAGGGGGACAACAGUUGGAAACGACUGCUAAUACCGCAUAGUAAGAAGAAUUCGCAUGUUUUCUUCUUGAAAGAUUUAUCGCUAUGAGAUGGACCCGCGUCUGAUUAGCUAGUUGGUAAGGUAACGGCUCACCAAGGCGACGUUCGCUACCCGGCUUGAGAGAGAGCCCCGCCACUUUGGGACUGAGACCCGGCCCACACUCCUACGGGAGGGGGCAGUGUGGAAUAUUGCAAAAUGGGGGAAGCCAUGAUGCAGCGCCGCCCCGUGAGUGAAGAAGUUUUUCGUUAUGUAAAGCUCUAUCAGCAGGGAAGAUAAUGACGGUACCUGACUAAGAAGCCCCGGCUAACUACGUG